Non-coding RNA from Agelaius phoeniceus (red-winged blackbird), 1020 nucleotides. Lineage: Eukaryota; Metazoa; Chordata; Aves; Passeriformes; Icteridae. The record is from RefSeq and is a predicted model, not a curated record.
CGCGCGCGGCCAUGUCGGCAUCGCUGCUGCGCCGCGGCCUGGAGCUGCUGGAGCCGCCGGGCCGGGCGAAGGCGCCGCCGGGACUCCAGCGAGGCCGGGCCGGCCCCAGGGCGGCGGGCGCGGCGAGGCGGAGGAAGAGGGCCCCGGAGCCCAGCAGGAACAAGGCCACGGUCAAGGGCAGAGUCGUGAAGUCGGCGAUAGAGGAGUACCAUAAGAAGAAGCCUGUGAAUCACUUGAGAGAAAACCUGCAGUACAUGUUAAAGGGACGACUUGUUGCAGACAAAGCUGUCACGGAACAAGUUCUUGCUCAGAACAGAGGCAGGAAGUCCAAAGAUCAGCCUCCAGAGAAGACAGAAAAGAAGAAGCCUGAAGGCACUGUGUUUACUGAGGAAGAUUUCCGUAAAUUUGAGAGGGAAUACUUUGGGAUCCCAUAAACAUCGUGACAGGGAUUCUUGCAGUCUUUCUGCAGCUUCUCCAGUCUGGCUCUCAGGCCUGGGCAUUUCCUUGGCAUGUUUGAGAUGGCACAGACUUGCAGAGCAGCUCUGUCUGGAUGCAGAGCUUGUUGCUGGCCAGCUAAAGCCACAGAGGUGCUCUUGACUCUAAGCCACAUUUCUCUGCCCGAUGGAAGAGACAAGAAGGGGUUAGGGAAGCAGCAGCUGCCGUCGCUGCUUUUCCCAGCUGGCCUCCAACCUGUUUCCCAGGCUGGAAGCUGAGGGCUGCAGGCCACAGCAACCUUUGGAUCUGCCGGACAGCAUUUCUGUCCCGCGCAUCUGCGAGCAGCGGCGCAGGGACGUGUCCCACUGCUGCCGGGCCAACGCCGCGUGCUCGCUGAGCUCAUCAGGCUGCUGGCUCCCUUCCCAGCUCUGCGACACCAGCUGAGCAUCCUGCAGCAGCAAAUAGAGGCAGCUGAGCUAGCGAAUGCUGAGGGUGCCAUCUUACAGGGCAUCUCCACCCACACGCAGUAGGGAGUCAGAAUGGGCAGCAGUAGCAGCAGCUUUAACAUGAAUGCAAAUAAAAGCU